UCAAGUUAUAAUAAGAGAAUAUGGAAGAAAAUUUAAGAUUUAUAUUCAAUACACUCUUGAUGAGGUUUCAAAAAUGUUAAAAAAAAACCUCCAUUUUUACAAAUAUACACUCGAGAAAAAGAUGUACAAAUCAUUCACCUGCCGACCUGGAUUCAGGACUUAAUUUGCUAAAAACUUUUGCAUACUCAAGAUAUUGAAGAUUGGUUUGGAAACCCUACAGAAGGAAUAAACAACAAAACAGAAUUUUUUAUUGGCCAGUGACUAAGUAAAUGAAAUGUCAUACUCAUUAUAAAUGUGAAAUCAAUGACUUUUGUUGACAAUUUGAAAAAAAAUACAAUAUACUAACAUAUGGUAUUGAUAUCCUUGCAAUAUUGAAAAAGUGUGAUUGCAAUUACUGACAAAAGUGAUCUAUUGAAGAUCUUGAAAAGUGUAAAAACUACAAUGUAGGUGACAACAUAACUAAGUAAUAAUCUUUGGAAGUGUGAUUACUUAUUACAUCAGUGAUAAUCUUGGAAGACUCUUUAUGAUGUUUUUAUGACUUAUUGUACAUGAACUCAUUCUUCAU
This is a long non-coding RNA of Ruditapes philippinarum (Manila clam), 565 nucleotides long. RefSeq lists it as uncharacterized. Lineage: Eukaryota; Metazoa; Mollusca; Bivalvia; Venerida; Veneridae. The transcript is spliced from 2 exons. The record is from RefSeq and is a predicted model, not a curated record.